RNAcentral lists this ribosomal RNA (1515 nucleotides) under Triticum aestivum (bread wheat). Its description in RNAcentral is "partial small subunit ribosomal RNA". Lineage: Eukaryota; Viridiplantae; Streptophyta; Magnoliopsida; Poales; Poaceae. The record is from RNAcentral.
AUGAGUAGAUUUGACGGGAAAGCAACAUCAUGUAGAUAUGUGUGUGCCAAGGAGGGUUUUCGAGCACACGACAAGAGAGAUCAUAUCACAAAGAAUCCUCGAGCUCAAACAAGAACAAAUUGUGAAGUUCGGAUGACACUUUCAUUGGAUCGAGUGGCAGGGAAUUAUGAAGUGGUUGAUGCAAUGCUUGUACACAAUCAUGAUCUUUACUUGCCACAAACAUUCCAUUUGAUGUUAUCACAAAGGAAGAUUUCAGAAGUUCAAGCUUUUGAAAUUGCGAUAGCCGAUGAUUCUGGAAUUAGGCCAAAAGCUUCACAUGAGCUAGCUAGUCGCCGAGUUGGAGGACCAAUGAAUCUCACCUACACUCCUCGUGAUCUAAAAAACUUGCAGGGUAGGCGCCAGAGAGAGUUGGCAUAUAGACAGGCAGGAAGCAUGUUGAAGUAUUUUCAAGACAAGAUCGCCGAGAAUCCUUCUUACCAAUAUGCUUUGCAAUUGGAUUGUGAGGAGAAUAUAAGCAAUAUAUUCUGGGCUGAUGCUAAGAUGGUCAUUGAUUAUGCACACUUUGGCGAUGUUGUCACAUUUGAUACUACAUUUGGCACAAACAAGGAAUAUAGGCCUUUUGGGGUUUUUGUUGGACUGAAUCAGUUCAGGGAGACCGUUAUUUUUGGUGCUGCUCUUAUGUUUGAUGAAACAUUUGCCUCUUUCCAAUGGCCAUUUAAGGCUUUUCUAGCUGCACACAAUGGAAAACAACCUAGAGCUAUAUUUACUGACCAAGACACUGCAAUGGGAAAUGCCGUCGAGGAGGUAUUCACAGAAGCAUGGCAUGGAUUAUGUACCUUUCACAUAAUGCAAAAUGCUGUGAAGCACUUAUGCAAUAGCAAAGCUGAUGACUCACAUUCUCCAAAAGAUAAAAAUGAGGCAGAUGAAGAAGAAGAAGAAGAAGAACCACACAUUCUCUCAGAUUUUAGUGCUUGCAUGUAUAACAUUGAGGACACGACGACCUUUGAAGAAGCAUUUGACAUCAUGAGGAAUAAGGUGGACGAAAAGAAGAUGUCAUGGCUGGAUAGCAUCUAUAAGUUCAAGGAAAAAUGGGCUGAAUGUUACAUGAGAGAUGUCUUCACAUUGGGUAUGAGAAGCACACAAUUAAGUGAGAGUUUCAACAGUGACUUGAAAAGACAUUUAAAAUCAGAUUUUGAAAUCAUUCGGUUCUUGAAGCAUUUCGAAAGGGCGGUGCAAGGAAAAAGAAACAAGGAACUAGAUGCAGAAUUUGAAGCUAGGAAAAAGUUACCUAGAAUAAGCAUGAAGACACCCAUGCUAUUGCAAGCAAGCAAACUUUACACACCCACAAUAUUUGAAGCAUUUCAAGCUGAAUAUGAAAGAUCCAUGGCUGCAUGCACUAGAGCAUUGGAUGGAAAUAACACAUAUUCUGUUGCAAUUGUGAGGGCUGAUGGUGAUUUAAGUUCUGAACUAGAGCGCAUUGUUGUUGGUGAUUCUUUGGAUGGUGAUUUUGAGUGA